This 3792-nucleotide long non-coding RNA is filed under the name Marmota monax (woodchuck). The record is from RNAcentral. Lineage: Eukaryota; Metazoa; Chordata; Mammalia; Rodentia; Sciuridae.
ACUAAAUCAGCGUGGGCCUGAUUCACAGCACCCUGGGCCAGGCCGAGCACCCCGAGAGGAGUGUGCGACCCUCCUGCAGCACAGGCAGUACUGGGCACGCAGCCUCCACAGAGCACCUUGAAAGGCAGCAGGUGUCCGGCCACGGCCCACCAUGGCUGCCCCUGGCCUAGAAGGCAAUGAUAUCAUGAGGAAUUAUCAGGUGGGGGGUAUUGAUAGAUCUGGACUGUCCCCUAAAGGCUCGGUGUUGAAGGCUUGGUCCCCAUGCAGCAGGGUCCCAAAGUGGGGCUCUGGGAAGGUGAUUGGACCCUGAGGGCUCUGACCUCACCAGUGGGUUAGUCCACUGAUGGAUUCACAGUGGGAUGGACCACAGGGAGGUGCUGGCCACUGUAGAAGGGGGGUCAUAGUUGAAGGGGGUGAUACCCUGGGGAACUAUAUAUUGCUCCCAAACAUACACACUUUCUCCCCGAUCCUGCCCCCCGUCUUUCUCUCUCUCUCCCCCCUCCCCCCUUCCUGGCUGCUGGGAACUGAGCAGCUAUCCUCUGUCACACCCUUCUCAUGAUAUUCCGCCUCAUCUCAGGCCAAAGCCAUGGAGCCAGCCCACCAUGGAUUGAAACCUCAGAAACCGAUGAAGUAUUUUCUCCUUUAAGUUGUUUUUCUCAAGUAUGUUGUCAUAGUGACAAAAAACUGACUACCACAGAAGUCUUAAGGUCUCACCCCAAUCCUAAGGGUCCCCCCCCUGAGAAUCAGCUUAGCUGAUUGGGCCAGGAAGGUAAGGGGAAGACUAAAGGGGAGAAGGGCCCACCUCUGUGAUGUCACCCUGUCCUCCAUGGCUAAAGUUCCUGUCCCCGUUCCCGUGGCUAUGGCUUCCAAAGUGGGAAGAACAUACCCUGGGAGUUAAAUAAUAAUAAUAAUAAUUAGGACAGCAGGAAGAAAAAAAUUGCAAUUUCCAUUUAUGUUUUAUCUUCAUUAGCUUUUCCCCUUCUAUUUCUUAAUAUCCUGCUCGCAGCCUUACAUGUAUAAAACUUAUAAAGUAAUACAAUUAUUUUGAAGGACAUGCAAAUCCAAAAUGAUCUUAGGUCCCUGCCCUGGGGAACCAGGGACAAUCAAAUUGUGCUUGAUUGAUUCAGGGGACCCAGGCGAGCAGGUUCGUUGGGGGUAAGGCCUGGAGUCCCAUGGAUUGAAGCACACAGGGGACCCACCUCAGGAAAGGGAGGAGGAGACAGAGGAGGGGAGAGCACAGGGCAGAAAAACCGAGCAGAUGACAGAGAAUCAGACAAGCUGAGUCCGGAAGCUCAGAGUCAGGUGAGUCCUGGGGGAGGCACAGGGAAGGGAGGCAGAACAGCGAGAGGCUGCUUCCCGGGAAAAGUCAGGGCGGGGCUGGCUAAUUAUAGGGAUGCCCAUUCUGGCCUUCCACCCCCAAUCCCUUCUGCAUCCCUCUGUAGCCAUGGGGGUUUGGUUCCAGGAUCCCCCACAGAUACCCAGCUCUGCAGAUGCUUGAGUCCUUUAUAUAAAAUGAUGAGGUAUUUGCAUAUAACCUAGGCAACAUCUCCAUGUACGCUUUCAAUCAUCUCUAGAUCGCUUAUAAUACAAAAUACAAUGUACAUGCCAUGUAAAUAGUUGUUAAACUGUAUCGUUUAGGGAAUAAGACAAGGGAAAGGAUCCUGCAUAUGUCUGGCAUGGAAGUAUUUUUUUUUUUUCAAAUAUUUCCAACCAGCACCGAAUUGAAUCCAUGAACAUGAGCCCCACAGGUACCCAGGUCUGCCUCUGUAUUCCUUUAUACUGGUUCAAACUGGAGAAGGACAGAGGAGCCACCUACAGCCAGGGGUGCUCCAAGUCCCUGGGAUUUUCCCUGGCUCAGGUGAGGAAAAGGAUUGCUUUUCCACUGGCCACAGGACCCCAUUGUCCUUUUUAGCAUCUGGGUGAUAAACCAGCCAAUUUCCUGUUGGGUUGCCUGAGCCAGGAGAUUUCCCACUGAUGACAUUUCUCCUGUGAUUUGCACCCAGGGGAAUCCUCCAAGGUAAUUGCUAUUAUCACACCACUGGGAGUUCAUCUUGGGAGCAUUUGGGUCUUGCUGAUUUAAUAACCCAAACCCUGGAGUCUAUGCUGUGGGGAAAACGUUCAACGUGAUGUAAAGAACGAGCCAGCAUCCAGCAUCUUCUCCUGCAGGUCAGACCCAAGCUUACUUAAGAGAGUAAGAGUAAAAAGUGCAAGAGGAACAUUGACUUGUUUAACUGACCAUAGAUCUUCCUGGCAAUUAUUUGCAGCAAAGAUAGGGGCCCUUUCCAAGGUCAUGGGCCUGGGCACGGCUGGGUGAGAAAAAGUGGGUGAUUGGCUUUUUCAAUGAGUUUGCUGAUUUUUCUAGCAGGUGGAUGUCUCUUCUUUCAGGCCUGGCGCUCAGCCUGGCCUCCUGGACCAGCUGUGUCUGGAUGAAGGCAAAGAUGAGGCUCCUGCCCUGGAGCCUGGAGCAGCCAAGACCUUGAGCCCAGACCCCAGCUCAAGGUGGAUCCCCCACCGCACCCUCUCGGAGGAGGCAGCCUGGAGGAGCAGCAGGCCACUGGGUGGGGAGCAGGGUGGGGUCACAGCGCCUGCGUCUGGGCUCGCAUGGCCCACGAUGGUUCCCUGGUUGGGCUCCACCCGACUUCCAGACUCGGAUUCCCCAUACGUGACCCAGAGGUGGUUUCAUGGGGUGGAACCUUCCAUUUUCAGAUGAAGACGUUGAGGCCUGUGGGAGCAUCCGUGACCUAGGGCCUCCGGUCGUUUCCUAACUGGAUUGCUUCAGGCCAGUGUGGCCGUCCACCCUGUGGGAAGGCGCUGGGAGGCAUGGCCUGCAUCUUGUCCUCAGACUUGACCUUGGGCAAGUGCUCGGGUCUCAAUGACGAAUGAUUGACUCACUGUGUGAACGAGUGGAUGCACGGACGGAGUGGCAGCCGACCCGGGAUGCCCAGAUCCAGGUCUGGGGCUGGGUGGCACCUGGCUCAGGUAAGCACUGAUACACAGUACCCAGCGUCAUGGCGGAAGGACCCCGCUUUUCCAGUUACAGGAAAUCUGGGUGAAGGAGCAUCAGGGAGACCAUGGCCCUUGGACUGCCCUGCAGACUGGGGCAGGCACGGGAGCGCCAGUCUGGGGGAAUGUCACCCCACACGAAAGGGAUCUCUCGCUAGUGACUCUGCCCUCUGAAUCAGAGCUGACGGGGCUGAGUGACCAGGUGGGUGGCGAUAGGGUGACCUAUCUCAUCCUCCUUUGUAGUAUAGACUUGUCUUCCUCCUGACUGGAGGAAAGAGGCAAAGACCAUUUUUAUUUAUCCCCUCAAUGGGCUUGAAACCUCUUUCCUGCCCUCUCAUAUCCUUUCUUUGCAUCCCCUCUAUCUCUAUCCCCCUUUAUUGAGUCUAAGGCCACUUGAGUGUACAGCCUGAGAGUGGCAUCUAUCUGGAGUUGUGCAGUGUUCAACCAGGGUAGCUGUAUAUAGCAGCCCUGAAAGACUCCCAGAGAUUCAGAGCUCUGAGACCCUAGAGAGCCUGGAUCAUAAUCUCUCAACUUAAAAGGGAAGAAAUUGAGGCUCCAUGUGGAGAAAAGAUUUUUUCAAAGUCUUUGUGUUCAUCAGCUUUGUGUCACUAUGACCAAAAAUGCCUGACAAGAACAGCUUGGAGAAGGAAGAUUCAUUGUGGCUCACAGUCUCAGAGGUUCAGUCUAUGGUCCAUCGGUUCCAAGGGAGAGAAAUCGUGGUGGAAGCUCAUGGCAGAGGAGAGCUGCUCAGCUCAUGGCAGCCAGAGAGCAGAGAGAGAGAGGGGAGGA